This 506-nucleotide ribosomal RNA is filed under the name uncultured bacterium. RNAcentral describes it as "partial 16S ribosomal RNA". It matches the Rfam family "Bacterial small subunit ribosomal RNA", at positions 29 to 523 of the family's 1533-position model. The record is from RNAcentral.
AGUGAACGCUGGCGGUAGGCCUAACACAUGCAAGUCGAACGACAGCACAGGAGAGCUUGCUCUCUGGGUGGCGAGUGGCGGACGGGUGAGGAAUACAUCGGAAUCUACCUUUUCGUGGGGGAUAACGUAGGGAAACUUACGCUAAUACCGCAUACGACCUUCGGGUGAAAGCAGGGGACCUUCGGGCAUUGCGCGGAUAGAUGAGCCGAUGUCGGAUUAGCUAGUUGGCGGGGUAAAGGCCCACCAAGGCGACGAUCCGGAGCUGGUCUGAGAGGAUGAUCAGCCACACUGGAACUGAGACACGGUCCAGACUCCUACGGGAGGCAGCAGUGGGGAAUAUUGGACAAUGGGCGCAAGCCUGAUCCAGCCAUACCGCGUGGGUGAAGAAGGCCUUCGGGUUGUAAAGCCCUUUUGUUGGGAAAGAAAAGCAGCCAGUUAAUACCUGGUUGUUCUGACGGUACCCAAAGAAUAAGCACCGGCUAACUUCGUGCCAGCCGCCGCCGUAA